This is a non-coding RNA of Oryza sativa Japonica Group (Japanese rice), 428 nucleotides long. Lineage: Eukaryota; Viridiplantae; Streptophyta; Magnoliopsida; Poales; Poaceae. The record is from RefSeq and is a predicted model, not a curated record.
CCGUUGUCUUAGGUGUUCCGGCUGCCUCUCUUUCCUUUAAAGUCUUCAAGAUCAAUGUCUUGAGGAAAUUCAUGACCUGAACUGCAUGUAUCAGGGCAGUCAAUGGAUCGGCCAUCUGGAAAACAAACAUUGCAGGUUCUGAAAUGUUCAGAUUGCAUAAAAAGGGGAUGCACAUACAUAGAUGCAACUGCCUAGUCGUCUGUCAAUCUGAGCUCAGGCCGUGGACCGGAAAAAUUAAGGAGAGAUGAGGAAGUUCAUGCUACCUUUAUCAACCCUGCAAGGCAGUGUUGCGGUGGCCAUACCUUAAGUCCCUCUCGUUCAUACAACUUCCUCUGCAUCAUCAACAGUAUUGUGGGCACGCUAUUUCCUUUGUGAUCAAAUGAACAUUGCAAAGAGGUUGGUGAAACACCAAAUACAUUUACACUGCA